RNAcentral lists this ribosomal RNA (468 nucleotides) under uncultured bacterium. RNAcentral describes it as "partial 16S ribosomal RNA". It matches the Rfam family "Bacterial small subunit ribosomal RNA", at positions 28 to 507 of the family's 1533-position model. The record is from RNAcentral.
GACGAACGCUGGCGGCGUGCUUAACACAUGCAAGUCGAACGGAAAGGCCCUGCUUUUGUGGGGUGCUCGAGUGGCGAACGGGUGAGUAACACGUGAGUAACGUGCCCUUGACUUUGGGAUAACUUCAGGAAACUGGGGCUCAUACCGGAUAGGAGCUACUGCUGCAGGGUGGGGGUUGGGAAGUUUCGGCGGUUGGGGAUGGACUCGCGGCUUAUUAGCUUGUUGGUGGGGUAGUGGAUUAGCAAGGCUUUGACGGGUAGCCUGGCUGGGCGGGUGAGCUGACACGCCAGGCCUGGACUGCGACCCGGCCCCGACUGCUACGGGAGGCAGCAGUGUGUAAUACUGUACGAUGGGCGCUAGUCUGAUCAAGCCAUGCCGCGUGAGUGGUGAAGGCCUUAGUGUUGUACAUUUCUUUUUCCCGGGAUGAGAAUGACAGUACCGGGAGAAUAAGCUCCGGCUAACUCCGUG